This 706-nucleotide long non-coding RNA is filed under the name Gallus gallus (chicken). Lineage: Eukaryota; Metazoa; Chordata; Aves; Galliformes; Phasianidae. The record is from RNAcentral.
UGAAGAAUGGAGUCUCUAUGUUUAGAACGUAACAAAGAUGAGACCGGGCAGACAUUCUUCAGUCAAGUUCAACUCAGUGGUCCACAGGGGAGCUAUCUUUGUUGUCCAAGCUAUUAAGAUACAUUUAUGAGCCAGCAUCAGUAAAUAAAGAAAGCAAGCUGCAUCUGUCCCCCAGCACUUGAGGUCACUGAGCAAUUCCAAAACCUCCUGGCAUCAUUUUUCACUGACACUGACUUACCACUGCCUGCAAAUGCUGGAUACUGCCUUUGAACCCCACUUUGACAACCAGUAGGAAAACAUCCUUAGGGAAAGAAUGCUGCCUUGGAUGAAAGCACAGCCCAUUGAUGGCUCUGGUAACCUUUCCAUACCAUCGCUUCUUCAAAAAUCUCCUGUAGAGGGAGAAAGAAGGAACUCCAUAGAGAAUCCCCUCAGUCACUGAGAAGGACAGUAGAAUGAUUCAGUUAGGGAGAUACUGGUUACUCUUUAAUUACUGCUCUGGUUCUAUUGCCGCUGAAAAAGUUGACACAGCUCCCCCUUUUUAAGCUUGAUAAUGAUGGAAUGGUUUGCAAAUUUGAUCUUCCCACUUUUUACAGUUUCAACCCUAUUUUCUGAAGCUCAGGUUGACUUUUCGAAGUGCAAGGCUGACAUGAGAUCCAAUAUAACACAGUGGGGAACUAGUGAAUUCUUUUACCCAAAAUUGGAGCAG